Long non-coding RNA from Lolium rigidum, 3972 nucleotides. RefSeq lists it as uncharacterized. The transcript is spliced from 13 exons. The record is from RefSeq and is a predicted model, not a curated record. NCBI's taxonomy places the organism in Eukaryota, Viridiplantae, Streptophyta, Magnoliopsida, Poales, Poaceae.
GCAGCAGACUUGCCGGCGCAUCGGCUCGGCCGCGUCCUUUCCAUGUCCUCCGACCUGCUCGCCGGGAACAACAGGGCCGCGCCCGACGGUACACAUCAUUCGUAAUCCAUGGGGGACAAUGUGACGCCUCGUAGCACAUGUACUUCAAUCAGGAAUGUUGUUUGGUGCAUCGCGAGAGUACUGGUGUGGCGCCCCCCAAUCCCCAAUGCCUGGGUUUACUUCUGAUGUCGCACCGAUGUUGCUUCCAUCCUCCCUGCCACUGGCGUCAUGCUGCUCGGCCUCCGACAACAUUUAGUAGUUUGAUGUCUGCCCAAGGUGGAUGGUGGUACAGCCCAAGGCGUCGGUGGUUUCAGGGUCGACGAUGACUUGCUCUGCUCGGAUGGACAAUGCCAGGGGUCGAAAAGAUCGCCUAUGGCUGGUUACUAGGGAUAGAUCGUUCAUGAUCAUGCGGAAUGAUGUAACGCCUUGUAGCACCUCUACUUCAAGCAAGAAGGUUGUUUGCUGCAGCGCUAGAGUACUGGUGUGGUGCCUCAAAUGUCAGGUUCGACUGCUAAUGUCGCAUUGAGAGGAUGCUGCCAUCCUCCCCGCGGCUAGUGUCAUGUUGUUCAGCCGUGGACGACCUUUAGCAGGGAGAAAUCGGUCGUGAUCAUGGGGAAUGAUGUGACGCCUUGUAUCACCUCUACUUCGCAAGAAGGUUGUUUGCUGAAGCGCGAGAGUAGUGGUGUGGUGCCCCCAAUGCCAGGUUCUACUGCUAAUGUCGCAUUGAGAGGACGCUACCAACCUCCCCGCUGCUAGUGUCCUGCUGCUCAGCCCAGCCGUGGACGACCUUUACCAGAUAUUUUUCAAUGUUUACCGUGUUCAGCGAGGCAUGAAGUUUGAUCUCUGCCCAAUGUGGAUGGUGGUACAACCCAAGACGGCGGCGGGUUUAGGUUCGACGAUGACUUGCUCCGCUCUGAUGGACAAUGCUAGGGGAUGACCAGAAGGCUGGUUGCUAGGGUUCAUGGCUGUGUGUGGUGGUGGUACAGCCAGCCCAAGGCGGCGGUGGCAGUGGUGACAAGGAUGAGUCAGGAGGGUGCCCACUUGAAUGACUAGCUCCACCCAGAUACCGCCAGGGACGGAUGAGAAGGACAACGACCUUGUGGUGCCUCCCUGCUGCUGCCUCUCCUGAUAAGUUUUGUGCCUACCAUUGUUGUGCAGCUGUAUUUUUUUUAUCUUGUUUGUGUGUAGCUAAAAAGUUGAGUGUGUGCUCUCUGUGCCCUUAAGUUCAUCCAUCUCUUCUCUUUGGGUAAAUAAAAUAUUUGGGAGGACUGUUGUUGUGGUGUGUAUGCUUAAUGAACUAUACUAAUUUAUCUGUCUAUGUAGUAAAUGAGGAAUGCGGAUACUAGUUUUUAAAGAGUUUCUUGUUCUUGAUGACGAUAUUAUCAGCAGAGGCCCCAUUCCUCAAUCUAGGUUUGAUGUCCUCGUUAUGUGGAUAAAAUGUAGACUACAUGUUUCUUUGUUUGUUUAUUUAUUACUUGCAUAAACAAACAUUCCAUCAGUACUUUGGUGUUUAUAGGUUGAUCACAUGCUAUUUAAAUCUGUACCGAAUGGAGUUUUAUAGCUUUCAAUGGCUAGUUAUUUCUGAAAUUUGUUGCAGCAGGUUGCAUCCAUCUAAACCCGGCCAUGGCAUGAGAGUCAUUCUCUCUUUGAGUUAUUUAAGUUUCAAAGUAAUUCAUGUAAAGUAGUUCCUUGUUUUGCACAGUAGUAAAUCAUGAUUGAAGGAAGCAAUGGACAGGGAACAUGUGAAGCUCAUCUUGUGCUCGGAAAAUUGAAGCAGCACAGUUAGCACCAAACUGGAAGUUUCAGUCAAGCUAGGCAACAACCCCACAUAUGCUCGUUGGAUCCUGAAGUUGCGCAUUUAAGGGCAUCUCGUAGGCCUAUGGCACCGGCUUUAGCCCAAAGGGACGCUUCUUCCUUGAUUUUGAUCCUCGGGUUGGUGAUAGAGGGGCGAGUGCCCUCAAAUACAGUCAUUUCUGUGCUUCCAGAGCAUCCAGGGUAGCAGAAGUGCCAUCGACCCGAAACCCUUGCACAGUGUCUUGGGAAGUUGAUGAAGCUCGGUUUCCGAGCCGGUGGCAACGUCCGGGGCAAGGAGAUGGCUGACUGGAGGCAUGGAAGGAAAUCAAUCCAAAUUAGCCCAGUAUGGUGUCUGCACUAUCAUGAAUGAAGGUAUAUGUUCUCUAAUAACCCAGCUUCGACUAUCUCGGCGAGUUGACCACGCUGCAACCGUGACACUCGUAAUUGGCUACAACAUCUCCAGUGAGUUACCAUGUGGCUCCCAUGUCGUAUACGCCUUUGAUCAUGUGGCUCCCAUGUGGUAUGUGAUACCAUGGCUGUACUUAUGAUCUCGCCACCUAGUUUUAUAUUAUUAGAGGCCCUGCUGUAGUAUUUCUGGUAAUUGAAGUUUUCAUGUUAAUGGUAUGAUUUUGCUGUUAUUAUGCUGCCAAUGCCAAGUAUUGUGUUGGUAUUGGGUUGUAUUGAUCUUUGAUUAGAGAUCAUUCUAUGAUUGGACAUGCUUCGGCUUAUAAUUUUAGCCAGUGGGAUUGUUGAUCCUGCUAUUUUCUUCGAGUAGUCAAUCCUGCUAUAUUCUUCCAGUAGCUAAUCCUUCUCCCCUGUUUUUUGCAUUCUGCUUUGUAAGUAUCAGCUCAAGCCUCAAGCUUGAUUAGAGGAAGCACUAUGCACAGAUACAAAUGAUAUCUACAUGUACUGUAUGCCUUACUCUUUCUUGGUAGUUGCAGUAUUUAGUUCGUAUAGAAUCUUGAUUCUUUCAUAUUUAUUUCUGGAUUGAAAACUGUGAUGUUUACCACAUAUAUAGGUGAUAAACAUUUGAAGAAAACAAAGAUGCUAUGUAUCUAAUAGAACUGGUGGCGAGUGGCGACUAGUGUCAUUUUGUCUUGCUAGGUAUCUAAGAGAAUUGAAGUAUCUAGCUGAUUGAAAUUGUUUCAGUGUUGGUGCGGAAGUGAUGAUACUGACUAUGUUUAUUAGUGUCUAGUUUGGAAGUUGAGAACCUAUCCUGACUGAUGAGCAACGUCAGGUUGUGUUGAUGUUUAAUUGCAUCAGUCAGUCCAAUUUUUUCCUGAGGGUGUAUCGAGCGUCUGAAAUGGUGUAAGUUGCUGCCUUUGGGUGUGAGCAAGAGUCUGCACGGGGAAGCAACAUCUGUCAGUGGUGUGCAAGAAUAGUAUUUGCGGUCAUUCUAUGAGAAAUAUUGCACAAUGAAUACUAUUUUAGUAACUACUGUGCAUCUACCAGUUAUAUGUGUCUAGCCAUUUUUUUUCUAGCUCAUGGUACAAUCUGCCUGCAUAUUGUCAGUCCAAUUACUUUUACAUUCUUCUCUUUACCGGUGCUCAUGGAAUUUUUGGCUUGCAAACUAGAAUCUGAAGUAUAAUGAAAGCUGUGGGUGAAGUAAAGGAACAAAGGCUACUGCCAUUGUUACAAUCCAAAGCUUAAUCCUUUCUAAGGUUGAUCCAUUGCUGCUAGAGCCGGUGCAGUUUGCACUCCCCAUAUAUAAUCCGUGUAUUAGCUAGAAAAGGCCAUCAUACUAUGAAAAAGCACAAGAAGGUGUUAGGUGGAUGCCUGUGUGUGUGCAUGGGGUCCUUGCUAGUGAGGACGAUGACAAGGGAGUGGCACUUGAUGCCACCGCAUCGGCCAGUUUCUUCUUUAGAUGGCCAUUGCGUUUGUUGCUGUAAUUUUGUCGGUGGAGAAGUUCAGCAGCUGUAACAGUUUGGGUGCAUCCUUGAGUCAUUUGACCUGCUUGAUUAUCUGUUUAGAAGUAGUGAGAGUUUGCCGGAUUGUAUUCUUUGAAGACUAGCACACGCUGUACUCGUGAUUGGUAUGUAAAUAAAGAAGCAGGCUCUUUUUUUGCAUUUGAACCUUCUUAUUAGAUCUGUGAGAUAAAAACUAGUGUACUCGUCAUAUGCCUCGCUGCUAAUUGAUAGU